GACGUAGGGCGCGAGCGUUGUCCGGAUUUAUUGGGCGUAAAGAGCUCGUAGGCGGCUUGUUGCGUCGGCUGUGAAAUCCCGUGGCUUAACUGCGGGCUUGCAGCUGAUACGGGCGGGCUGGAGUUCGGUAGGGGAGACUGGAAUUCCUGGUGUAGCGGUGAAAUGCGCAGAUAUCAGGAGGAACACCGGUGGCGAAGGCGGCUUCCUGGACCGACACUGACGCUGAGGCGCGAAAGCUAGGGGAGCAAACGGG
This 253-nucleotide ribosomal RNA is filed under the name uncultured bacterium. Its description in RNAcentral is "partial 16S ribosomal RNA". It matches the Rfam family "Bacterial small subunit ribosomal RNA", at positions 524 to 776 of the family's 1533-position model. The record is from RNAcentral.